Molecule: long non-coding RNA, 145 nt
Filed under: Dasypus novemcinctus (nine-banded armadillo)
Lineage: Eukaryota; Metazoa; Chordata; Mammalia; Cingulata; Dasypodidae
Description: lncRNA (ENSDNOG00000050731.1)
Source: RNAcentral
UGUCUGACAAAGCUUCGUUACAUAUUAUUCUGAAAAUGUACUGCAAGGAUACAGAGCAAGAAGGAAAUGGAUAGAGACUAAAGAAAAACCCAUCUCUCUCAAAGGAAAAGAGAUAGAAAAUGGACACAAAGGACUAAAAGAGAGG